UAGAGUGUAAAAACUCCCUAACCCGUGUGAACAUACCACUGUUGCUUCGGCGGUAGCGCACCAGGCGCGCCUGCGUGCCCUGGAACCAUGCGCCCGCCGAGGGACCCGAACCUCUGUAUCUCUGUUGGCAUCUCUGAGUAGUGGGCAAUUUGGAAUGAAUCA
Molecule: unclassified non-coding RNA, 162 nt
Filed under: uncultured Eurotiales
Lineage: Eukaryota; Fungi; Ascomycota; Eurotiomycetes; Eurotiales
Description: sequence contains ITS1
Source: RNAcentral